GACGAACGCUGGCGGCGUGCUUAACACAUGCAAGUCGAACGGAAAGGCCCUGCUUUUGUGGGGUGCUCGAGUGGCGAACGGGUGAGUAACACGUGAGUAACCUGCCCUUGACUUUGGGAUAACUUCAGGAAACUGGGGCUAAUACCGGAUAGGAGCUCCUGCUGCAUGGUGGGGGUUGGAAAGUUUCGGCGGUUGGGGAUGGACUCGCGGCUUAUCAGCUUGUUGGUGGGGUAGUGGCUUACCAAGGCUUUGACGGGUAGCCGGCCUGAGAGGGUGACCGGCCACAUUGGGAAUGAGAUACGGCCCAGACUCCUACGGGAGGCAGCAGUGGGGAAUAGUGCACAAUGGGCGGAAGCCUGAUGCCGCAACGCCGCGUGCGGGAUGACGGCCUUCGGGUUGGAAACCGCAUUCGCCUGUGACGAAGCGUGAGUGACGGUAAUGGGUAAAGAAGCACCGGCUAACUACGUG
Molecule: ribosomal RNA, 468 nt
Filed under: uncultured bacterium
Lineage: Bacteria
Description: partial 16S ribosomal RNA
Rfam family: Bacterial small subunit ribosomal RNA
Source: RNAcentral